CACGUAGGGACCAAGCGUUGUCCGGAUUCAUUGGGCGUAAAGAGCUCGUAGGCGGUUCGAUAAGUCGGGUGUGAAACCUCCAGGCUCAACCUGGAGACGCCACCCGAUACUGUCGUGACUAGAGUCCAGUAGGGGAGCGUGGAAUUCCUGGUGUAGCGGUGAAAUGCGCAGAUAUCAGGAGGAACACCAGCGGCGAAGGCGGCGCUCUGGGCUGGAACUGACGCUGAGGAGCGAAAGCUAGGGGAGCGAACGGG
RNAcentral lists this ribosomal RNA (254 nucleotides) under uncultured bacterium. RNAcentral describes it as "partial 16S ribosomal RNA". It matches the Rfam family "Bacterial small subunit ribosomal RNA", at positions 524 to 776 of the family's 1533-position model. The record is from RNAcentral.